Molecule: long non-coding RNA, 991 nt
Organism: Oreochromis niloticus (Nile tilapia)
Lineage: Eukaryota; Metazoa; Chordata; Actinopteri; Cichliformes; Cichlidae
Exons: 2
Source: RefSeq, a predicted model, not a curated record
CUCUGGGUAUCUGCGUUCCACAGAUGGGCUUUAGGUGGUUUCUGGGGUUGAUACUGGUGGUUCAUCGGUUGUCUGUUAAGGUGAUUCAGCUGGUAAGGGGUGUAAUGUUAAAAUCCCUCUUAUCUCUGGAACAACACAGUCCAUGAUCACUUCUGGUCUGCCCUCUGGAACUGGUGAAGAUAUAACUGGGGAUCUCUCAAUAGUUUGUCUCCAUGGUAACAGGUAGUCAACAUGUAUUGUGCGUGUUCUCUGUCCUUCUUGUAUCAUAUAAGUAACACUUCCCUUUUUCUUUAGAACUGUUCCAUGAGUCCAUUUUUUUUUUUGCCCCCCGAGGUUUCAGAUAUGCACAGCCUCUCCUGAAAAAACACGUACAGGUGGAGUUCUGUGAUGGUGGUGUCGCUUCUGCUCAUCUGCUGGUGUACUUCACAGUGUGCAGUGUACUGUGAUACAUGAUAAGGAAGUUUGCCAAUUGAUGAGUGAGCAGCAAUGUGGCCUUACCAUCUGCUUCCAGCACAUUCUUCAUCAGGGAUCGUUUCAGGAUUUCACCUCUCUGCUGCUCCAUUUGAUUCAGGAUGAAGCUGUGUGUCUGAUCCCAUUUAACUCCAAGAACUGACUGAAUUCUUUUGACACAAUUUGAGGUCCAGUGUCUUAAACAAGCUCUUCUGGGAGUCCAUAUAAAGCAAAUAACCCUCUCAAAACCUCAGUGCUAUUGUAUGAGGAAAAUCAAUGUGAAUCCAUUGCCAAACUCUCCCAGGCCCCUUCCACAGAUGGAGUGGUGCAACCGCUGGCACUUCUGUACAGCCUGACAGAUUGAGCAGCUUUGAACUAGUUCCUGUAUGUCACCAUCACAGCCUGGCCACCACAGGUAACUGUGGGCUAGAGCUUUCAUAGGAUGGCUGGAUGUUCAUGAUGCUGGUCUUCCAGUACUUUCUGUCGGUAAACUGGUGGAAUGAUAACUUGUUGUCCCCAAAGAAUACAUCCUUGUUUUGAU